UUCAGAAUAAAUGUUCCCUGCAAUGAUCUGACAUGAACGAUCAUUUGUGUCCAGCUAAAACGAGAAAGAAGGAAGGGUUUAGUGCUAACCGUUGUAGGUUAAAAACCAGUAAAGUUCUCUAUCAUUAAGAGGAAUAAAACCAGCUCUUUUGCCCACAUCCACGAACUGAUGAACUUCUUGCUUAAAUCCAUGGCCUUGAGGAAAAACUGCUAAACCUCGCACAGCUGACCGCCCUGAAUGGACAGGUUCUGCCAGUCCUAGCCAACGUGCCACCACCGAGUUCACCCCAUCACAGCCUAUCAGAACCUUAGAUUUGAUUGUAGUUCCAUCUUCCAAAUGUAUAACAACAAUGGAAGCACCGCCUUACUCUUCAUUUUCAAUGACAGCUAGCUUGGAAGAGAAUUGAAUUGAGUCAACCGGCAAUUCCUCUGCCAGUGCCUCUAACAGUGCUUUGCGGUGAAGUGUCCUAAUUCCUUGUCCAUCGCCCCUAUUUCACACAAGACAAGGCAUUAAUUCACACCCAGAACUACGUCAUAGGAAGCGAAUAUUGAUGAGAGUGAAGUUUUGUCGGCAUAAACAUUAAGGAAUCCGGUCUGUCCAUUAUACAUCAGUAUAACUUUAUUGAACCGACAAAAAAUUUCUUUUAUGAUUCCGACAGCCAUUCAUAGUACAGAUCCUUGCAUGAAAUUGUACUAAAAAAUUAAUCAAGAAAUUAUUUUAUUAAGGUUCAAAAAGUUUACCCAUUAUUGGCCACUCGGGCGUGGACUUGUUGAACAUCUCCAGCACUAACAUUGGUUACAUAUCCCCUAAAUCAUACAAGAGGAAAAGAGAAGUGCACAGGAAACUAAUCAAUCACCCAGAAGAUAUAUAAUAUUCAAAUUCAAGAAACGAUGGACAGACAUGAUCAAAAGAAUAGAAUUAGUGUAGAGGGACAACUUAUUACAUCGAUGAAGGAGCAUAAAUGGGGGUGAGCUUGUGAGAAACACCGAGAGCAUCAAGAGCAAGCCAAGCAUUUGGAAAUAGAGUCAAGGCUGCACCUGUGGCUCUUAGCCCUUCUGAUCUCUCUAACACCAGGGCUCGAACCCCUACUCUUUUCAAAGCCACUGCUGUUGCCAACCCUGCAAUUCCUGCUCCGACUAUCACCACAUCCUCCAUCAUUUCCAUCUCCCUCUCCCUCUGCGUGUAUGAGUGUUUCCUUCUACAGGGUGCGUCGUCUUGUUCUUAUUAUAACCCCAUGUGCUUGGACUCCAAGUCUGACCAUGACCCACUUGUAUACAUAGUAUCUUGCAAGUAAUUAAGAAUAUAUUGUUUUUCUUCAUGGUUAUCUAGCCAAUUUGCGAGUUAAUAAAACUAAAUCUCUUUUUUGAACUAUUUAAAUAAAUAAAUAAAAAUCUAGAGGCGGCUCUUUGGUUAUUUAUCGUAUCUUUUGGAGUUAAGUAGAUAAGAACGUUCGAGGAGAGUGAUAAAGAAUUGUUUAAGCCAUAACGUUAAGCAAUCAUUUCAUAUUUUAUUUUGAUAAAAUUUCAAAUAUAUGAUAUCAAAUUUUGAUAAAAUUUCAAAUAUAUGAUAUCAAAUUAAAUCAUAAUUAUUAAAUUUAGGCAACAUGAUUGCUUGAUUUUUUAAUUGCAUCAGAUAAAAUAUUGAUCUAAUUAUUAUUUUUUUCGGUCAAAUUCAAAUUAAACUAGAUAUAAAAUAAUUACAUGAUCAAACCGGAUUCAAAUUAAACUAGAUAUAAAAUAAUCACAUGAUCAAACUGGAUUCAAAUUAAUCAACCCAAUAUCUUGUAAGAAAAAACUACUGUUUUAAUAAAAAUAGAUGUUUUGAUGACUUAUAUACUGACGUAAUAAUCUAACAACCCAAGCAUUUUCCAAGAUUAUUACCUAAGCUGAGUUUGACACCUAAUUAAAAGUGAACAUGCAUGAUUGAAAUUCGUAUUUCUUACCACCAGGGUGAUUGAAACCAAAUUCAGUUAUUAUAGGAUCUAAAAAUUAAUUUUUUAAUCUAUUUUUUUACUUUUAAACACAUUUAAUAAACACCCUUAUAAUUUUAACAAACUAAAUUCUUAAUUCAAAUAGCUUUGAAUUAGUCCAAAAACACAAAAUUAAAGUAAAAAAAAUUAUUUAUCAACUCUAAUUUACUUUUUCUGAUAAAAAAAAACACCAUAAUAUAACUCUUUCCAUCAAAUAAAGCCUAUUAAAACAAAAAACAACUAGUUGUCAUUGAAAUAUGAACAACCAUCAAUUAUCUUUGUUAAAGAGAAAAAGAUGAAAACUAAUAAGUGGUGGAUCAAUGAUUUAAUGACAAAUAUAGCUUUUAAAAUAUUUUUCUUCUCUUAAAAACAUAAUUAUUAAACAUGGUCUGAACUCUGAAUUGACAAAUUGAUCUAAAAAAUUUAAAAAUCAAAGUUUGACACAAGAUAAAUUUUUAAUUGAAUCAGAUAAAAUACUAAUCUUCCAAUCCUCAUCCAACUUGAUAAGUUUAAUGUUUUAUAGAAGAAAAAUAAAAAUUGUUAUUUUAAUAAAAUAAUUAACCUAGUGACCUAUUGAUUGAUAUAAUAACCCAAUUAUUCACAUCAAUCUCUAGAUUGGUCCGAAAACUAUUCUUCAGUUAUUUUUCCAAGUUUUCAAUUUCUUUUUUUUUCUAUUACCCAAAUUUUCUUAGAUAAGAAAGCGAACCAUAAACACACAUAUAUAACAAUAAUGUGAGGCAAAUAAUAAUAUCAAAGCAAAACAACAUUGACAAUAACUUCGAAGAAGAAAAAGACAGAAGCAAAAGAAAAUUCGUAUUUCUUACCUUCCUCUUCACUAUGAUAUUAUUCUUACUUUGACUAAUUAAUAAGACUUUUAAAAUAAAAAAACGACAAAACCAACAAAGAAGAAAAAGACUAACGCUACCUUCAACUUCACUAUGAUAUUUUGAUAGCAGCAGCAAGAGGCUAACUAUGUUGAAAUUGAGGGCAAUGCUCUAAAGAUAACAAUUUGCAGAAUCACUUGUCAGCACUGAAAUUUAGUCCUUCUUACUGGACAGAUCCAUUGCACCAAAGGAAAUAGCAGGAAGUCUUCCGCAGUCAUAAACAAAUACUAGUCUAGAAAGCCAGCCGAAAAAAUACUUGUAAAGUGCUCUGUCCCUGAGAAAUUUUAUCCACCAUUUAUCUCCUUGCUGCAUCCGUCCUGAUAAAUACGAUGCUGUGACAACCAUAGCGGCACGCCACCUCCUUUCCUUCACAUAAUCAUCUAUGGCUUUAGCCAUGUCUCCUGGAACAAUCAGGGCUCCAUUGUUUAUAAAUGAAUUGCCAAUGUGUCUGCCCAAUACCACAGCAUCUUCUAGUGAUGCACCACCACCGUUUCCUAGAUCAGGAGUCAUGGGGUGCAUAGCAUCACCAGCUACUGUCACAUUUCCUUUGCUUAGCUUUCCAAAUAUGAUCCCCCAUGGAGGCCUAAACAUCAAUGGUGCCCAUGAUAAUGAGGAAAGAUCGGCAUGCCGCACCACGUCUAGGUAUUCUGAGGGAAAUUUUUCUGUACAUUUCUCAAGCACAUCCCUUUGCAUUUUCUCUGCCUCUCCUGACAUCUUUUCCCCUGAAAUCAAAAUUAGCUCACUAUAAAACUUUCCCUGAAAUGAUCUGAUCACAUGAACCAAUAUUUGUGUCUUGCUAAAAUGAGAGAGAAAUUAAAGGGAUGAAGAGUGCUAAGUGCUUGCCUUGGCUAGAAAAAAACCAGUAAAGUUCCCUAUCAUUAAGAGGAACAAAACCAGCCUUAUCGCUCUCAUCCAUGAAAAAAAGAAAUUCUUGUUUAAAUCCAUGGCCUUGAGGAAAAACUGCUAAACCCCGCACCGUUGAUCGACCUGAAUGGACCAGUUCUGCCAGUCCUAGCCAUCGUGCCACGAACGAGUGCACCCCAUCGCAGCCUAUCAGAACCUUAGAUUUGAUAGUAGUUCCAUCUUCCAAGUGUACAGCAGCCAUGGAAGCAUCACCUCCUUGUUCUAGACUUUGAAAAGCAACUAGCCUCGAAGAGAAUCGAAUUGAGUCAGUUGCCAAUUCCUCUGCCAGUGCCUCUAACAACACUUUACGGUGAAGAGUCCUAAUUCCUUGUCGAGGGUAGAGGACUUCUCGAACUUCUCCGGUACUAACAUUGGUUACGUAUCCCCUAAAUCGUGAGAAAAAGAAGUUCACGAGAAAUUAAUCUAUCAUCCAAAGUAUUAAAAUCCAAAUUCAAGAAUUUAUAAAUAAUCAAACAUAAUGAAAAGAAAAAAUUAACAUGGUGAAACAAUUUAUUACUUGGGUGAAGGAGUAUAAAGGGGGAUGAGCUUGUGAGAAACACCAAGAGCAUCAAGGGCAAGCCAGGCAUUUGGAGAUAGGGUCAACGCUGUACCAGUGGCUCUUAGCCCUUCUGAUCUCUCUAACACCAGGGCUCGAACCCCUACUCUUUUCAAAGCCACUGCUGUUGCCAAGCCUGCAAUUCCUGCUCCAACUAUCACCACAUCCUCCAUCAGUUCCAUUUCUUCUUCUUCUUCUUCUAUGUGUGUGUGUUGCCGAUUACAUUGGCUAUUUGACUUCAUGUUGUUCUAAUUUAUAGCCCAAUGGGCUUGGAUUCCAAGUCUGGCCAUGACCCACAUAGAUUUACGUACCAUGUCUGGCAAGAAUGUUGAUGGAGAAUACAUUGACGGCUGCUGCCUUUUGGACCCAAUGCAUGGCACAGUCUUGUACCGGCCCGCCUGGCAGGCUAAACCAGUAAGUAACCUGUCGAUAUGACCUCCUAACCCGAUGCCAUGUUUUAAAUUAAACCCGGGUUUUUUUUCAAAAUAAUAUUAUUUUAUUACUAUUAUUAUUGAAACAAAAUUAUUUUAGGUUUACUAAAGUGAACUUAGAUUAAUAUGUUGAAUUAGUAAUGCAAUAUUGAAUCAAGUUUAAUAAUGGUGACCUAAAGUCCUAAUGUUUUAAAUUCACCCCAUGAUGACUUUAACUUAAAAUUCCUGAGGCAAGGCAAGAUUCGAAUAUUAUUUUGAAAUUGGCAACCUCUAUCUCUACAAGUUGUAUGUACGUCUCAGACUAUCGCUUCUGUAGCUGGUGGUAGAUAGAAAUUUCUGCAGCAGGAAGAUGGCACACCAUGAGGCAACAGAUGAUUGCUUUCAGCAGAAAUCCCUUAGGCAAAUACCGUUUGACAAGUCAACAGAGUCUCUUUCUUUGAACCAAAUUCUUUUUGUCAAAUCUGAUAGACAAGCAGAAGAAACUUUGAAAAAUCUCUAGAAACCCUUGGAAGAUUUCUCUUUAAACUAAUCUUAGCUGUUAAUAGUUCAGGCUUUUAUUAAGAGAAGGCACAACAUUAAGAGGGUAUUCAAAACUUUUUGGUUAAGACCAUGAGAUCAUCGAGAGCUAUCAACAAAGGUAUAAUGAUUGUAACGUGUUUCUCAUUAUUUGUGAAAAAUAAUUUACAUUUUGAUAUGUAUAUGCACAACAUAAAAUUCAAAUCCUAUGUUGUUAGAAAAGAAAUCAGUCACCAUAUUUAUAUAUUUUGAUAACCACGUUAGUAAUUCGGCGUCGUCAGAACCUCCAAAAUAUAUUUCUAACUUUACUAUCACAAACAAAAUAAAUUCUUAGUAUAAUCAUGAUGUAACAUCCUCAAAUUAUAAUGUCAUAAAGUAUCAUAUUAGAAGGCUCUAUACAAAUUUUUCAGAAUUUUCUGAUAACCCGAUCAAGAAUUACAAAUUUUUUUGUUUUACAUGAAACUAGUCAAUUUAUGAUUUUUCGCCUAGAGAUUUUACACGUGAAAACCAGGUUAAACUCAAGGGAAAUUUCGUUUAAUAUUUCUAUAAUAUACUGAAAUGAAAAAGAACAAAGGAUUUGAAUAAAAAUUAAAAAAAAUAAAAUUCUGAAAAUAAAAUUAAUAAAUUGAUAUGUUGUUAACUCAGUUUAAAGGUUCUUACAUCCAUUUCUAUAAAUUUGUUGAUCAUCUAAGUAAAAUAAAUAUUCUUUUAUGUCAAGCAAAUAAAUUUGAUAUCCCUUAAAAUAGAGAGAAAUCGAUGAGAUUACGAGUACAUUAAUUAGACAAAGCUCUCUAAUCAAUUUCUUACCAUCAAACGAAUUUAAUAUUGAAAGCAAUUCUUAUUCACUCGGCAGUAGCCUUAGUAGUAAAGUUUGUGAAAUUAUUCUAAGCAAACUUUCAAAAGCUUGACAAUUUAACUUAAUUUAUUCUUUCCUAAUAAAUCAACAUGAGAAUUGCAACAAUCAAAUUAAUUCUUUUGCCUCUUAUUUUAGUCCCUAACAACAAUCACGGAUUGAAUGAAAUUAAAAAGCAUACAUGUCAUCUCAAAACAAUUCAAUAAGCUUGAAUAAUAGUCAAUAACAUAAUUCUGAAUAAGAAAAAAUAAAUAUUAAUUUUGAAAGAAUUUUGAAAGAAUUACAAUGAUAACAUUACUUCUCAUAACUUGUUAAUGGAGAUGGUGUGUAUUUCUCUUGAACUAAAAGCCAAAGUUUAGUUCAUAACUGCUAGAGAAUUGACAAAAACAGAGAAAAAAAGAAUGUUGCAAAGCCUCUGUUUCAGUCGUGUUCUGCUCUAUUUAUUCUCUCCCUUGGCUGUCGAAUUUCUUCAGAAUUCUUAGGUUAAUUAGAAGUCCUUAUGCUACUUAACUCCUUCCUUCUAUAUAUAGUCUCUAAGGUUGGUUAAAUCUCUCAGAAUUUGGUUGAAAAUAGACUCUGCUGCUGUCACAACUCUGCUGCAAUUCAAACUCUGCUGCAACUUAGACUUUGUUUCUAACAUGAUUUCUGGCAAUAUUCGACCAUUUCAGCUAUAUUCUUUCAUUCAUGGCAUGUUAGAGGCUUGAUUUACGCCUUUCUUAGGUCCUAAGGCCCACCUUUUCUAUGCCAGACUCUUAGCUGUAAUGUGAUGCUUGGCACUGUUAGUUUCCUUAUCAAAUUAGAAGACCAAUCUCAUCCUUCAGAUUGCGUCCAACAGUUUGUCUUCAAAACGAUUUUAUCUGACCUGAAAUCCUUCAUAAAAGUUGUAGCCCUAGAUGUGUAGAUGAUUUUGGGCUUUUGAAUCAUAUGAUUUUGAUGUUUGAGACUCAAAGAUAUACUUAUUUGAAUCUGUAAUGUGAAAGUAGAGGAUUUUGUUAUAAGUAAGAUUUCGGUUCGAUUUUGCGGGUCUGAUUAGAGGUCCAAUAGAAUUCAUAUUUCUACCCAUAAUACCUUUCUAGGAAGCUUGAUAUGUUUACUUUAACUUUUAUUUAGCCCAUGUUCACAUUAUAAAAUUAUAACUUAGUAAACAACUUGUCAUAAGAAGAAAAGUCUGAAACAUAAAAUAUAGAAAUUCUUAUAUUUUAGCAAUUAAUUUACAAAGUUUCCUAUACAUACUAAACUCAUAAAAAUAACUUUUAAUAAGCCCAGAUAAGUUCAAAAUACAUAAAAAUAUAAUAUAAAAAGAAUAAAAACAUAUGUAUAUUUUGCAUUUAUCAGUCAUAUUGUAAAAAAUAAUAAUUUAAAGUAAAGAAAUAUUAUUUAGUGCAUUUAGAUGAAUAAAUUAUUUUGAAUGGUGAUACCCAAAUUUGAAUUCAAAAAAUUAAAAUAAUUUCUCUUAAAUACCAACCUCACCAUUCAAUUUACAUAAAUGAUAUUUAUUAUAUACACACACAUUAGUUUAUGCAUGGAUUUCUCUCCUUACUGGGGUAAAAUGAAUGAGUUCUACAACAUCUUAUUUGCAUAUUUUUUGAAAAGUUGUUAAUUAAUGAUGCCAAACAUUUAAUUGGUGUUGAUAAUCACGAGAUUUCUUAAAUAACUUUCACACAUCUCAUUUGAGUAGACACCCAAAUUAGACUCCGAGUACGUGCUUUUUUUAUUUUAGAAUUUUGAUUUUUCAUGCCUUGUAAAGAUCAAUUUCUAAUCUAAAAAAUGAUUAGAUUAGAAAUAGGAAUUUCCCAUCUUCCAUUGUGUAAUGCAAGAGCCUUUGGAUCUCCUAGGAAAAGAACAAGAACACGGGUCUAAAUACAUUUUGUUAAUUUAUCUCUGCUUUGAUCGAGUCAAUAAAAAAUAUAGGCACCAAACUGAAAUCUGCACUAGCUCGAGUUAGAGUACGAUCAAGCCUACAAAGUACAAACACUCCAUAACAGUACCAAAAGAAACGGUUUUGAGUGAAUUUUUAUUUUUUCAGAACAUAAAUUAUAAAUUACAGAGCAUAAAGAGACAUGUUUUUCUUUUUUAUUUGUCUCGAGACACCAAAAAAUAUAUAAAAAGACUGGUUAACUAGAAAUUGUGAGCCAUUGUCUGAAACCACUCAUCUGCAGAAUCUAUAUGCCAAAAUUGAAUCUAGUCCUUCUUACUUGAGUGAUCCAUAUCAUCGAAGGACAUAGCAGGAAGUUUGCCACAAUCUUUAUGCACAAGUCCAGAAAUCCUGCCAAAAAGAUACUUGUAAAAUAUUCCAUCCCUUAAGAAUUUCAUCCACCAUUUAUCUCCACCGAGCUGCACCCAACCUGCUAAAUAUGAUCCUGUGACAAGAAAAGCAGCACGCCACCUCCUUUCCUUCACAUAAUCAUCUAUGGCUUUAGCCAUGUCUCCUGGAACAAUCAGCCCUCCAUUGUUUAUAACUGAAUUGCCAAUGUGUCUGCCCAAUACCACAGCAUCUUCUAGUGAUGAACCACCGCCUUGUCCUAGGUCAGGAGUCAUGGGGUGCAUAGCAUCACCAGCUACUGUCACAUGUCCUUUGCUUAGCUUUCCAAAUAUGAUGCCCCAUGGCUGCCUAAACAUCAACGGUGCCCAUGUUAAUGUUGAAAGAUCAGCAUGGCGGACCACGUCUAGGUAUGUUGAAGGAAACUUUUCUACAUGUUUCUCAAGUACAUGUUUCUGUAUUUGUUCGGGCUCUCCUGCCAUCUUAUCUCCUGAAUUGAAAAUUAGUUCAGAAUAAAUGUUCCCCGCAAUGAUCUGACAUGAACGAUCAUUUGUGUCCAGCUAAAACGAGAAAUAAGGAAGGGUUUAGUGCUAACCGCUGUAGGUUAAAAACCAGUAAAGUUCUCUGUCAUUAAGAGGAACAAAACCAGCUCUUUUGCCCACAUCCACGAACUGAUGAACUUCUUGCUUAAAUCCAUGGCCUUGAGGAAAAACUGCUAAACCUCGCACAGCUGACCGCCCUGAAUGGACAGGUUCUGCCAGUCCUAGCCAACGUGCCACCACCGAGUUCACCCCAUCACAGCCUAUCAGAACCUUAGAUUUGAUUGUAGUUCCAUCUUCCAAAUGUAUAACAACAAUGGAAGCACCGCCUUGCUCUUCAUUUUCAAUGACAGCUAGCUUGGAAGAGAAUUGAAUUGAGUCAACCGGCAAUUCCUCUGCCAGUGCCUCUAACAGUGCUUUGCGGUGAAGUGUCCUAAUUCCUUGUACAUCGCCCCUAUUUCACACAAGACAAGGCAUUAAUUCACACCCAGAACUACGUCAUAGGAAGCGAAUGUUGAUGAGAGUGGAGUUUUGUCGGCAUACACAUGAAGGAAUCCGGUCUGUCCAUUAUAAAUCAAUAUUACUAUAAUAUUGAACCGACAAAAAUUUCUUUUAUGAUUCGUACAGCCAUUCAUACUACAGAUCCUUGCAUGAAAUUGUACUAAAAAAUUAAUCAAGAAAUUAUUUUAUUAAGGUUCAAAAAGUUUACCCAGUAUUGGCCACUCGGAAGAGGACUUGUUGAACAUCUCCAGCACUAACAUUGGUUACAUAUCCCCUAAAUCAUACAAGGGGAAAAGAAAAGUGCACAGGAAACUAAUCAAUCACCCAGAAGAUAUAUAAUAUUCAAAUUCAAGAAACGAUGGACAGACAUGAUCAAAAGAAUAGAAUUAGUGUAGAGGAACAACUUAUUACAUCGAUGUAGGAGCAUAAAUGGGGGUGAGCUUGUGAGAAACACCAAGAGCAUCAAGAGCAGGCCAAGCAUUUGGAAAUAGAGUCAAGGCUGCACCUGUGGCUCUUAGCCCUUCUGAUCUCUCUAACACCAGGGCUCGAACCCCUACUCUUUUCAAAGCCACUGCUGUUGCCAACCCUGCAAUUCCUGCUCCGACUAUCACCACAUCCUCCAUCAUUUCCAUCUCUCUCUCCCUCUGCGUGUAUGAGUGUUUCCUUCCACAGGGUGCCUCGUCUUGUUCUUAUUAUAACCCCAUGUGCUUGGACUCCAAGUCUGACCAUGACGCACUUGUAUACAUAGUAUCUUAAUGUUUUUCUUCAUGGUUAUCGAGCCACUUUGCGAGUUAAUAAAACUAAAUCUCUUUUUUUGAACUAUUUAAAUAAAUAAAUAAAAAACUAGAGGCGGCUCUUUGGUUAUUUAACGUAUAUUUUAAGAGAAUUUUUUUAUUUAAUUUUUUUUAAUGUUUUCAAUCGAUUUGAUAUAUUGAUAUCAAAAAUAAUUUUUUUAAAUAAAAAAAUAUUAUUUUGAUAUAUUUCAGAGUAAAAAACACUUUAAAAAAUAACAACUACCACACUCUCAAACAUCCUUUUAAAGAGCUGCUGUGACAUUGUAUUGUUUUAGGGUUUUCAUUUUAUUUUUGCGUUUCAAAAACGUUUUUGAAAAAAUUUAAAAUUUUUUAAUGUUUUUCUUUGCUUCAAAAUUUUUUUUGGUGUUUUUAAUUCAUUUUCAUGCGUAGAUAUUAAAAAUAAUUUUUAAAAAAUAAAAAAAAUAUUAUUUUGAUAUAUUUACUAGUAAAAAAUACUUUAAAAAAUAACAACAACCACCUUAAAAUGUGGUUUGUUAUAGUUGAGAUUAUAUUUUGUUGUUAUUAUUAUAGCUUUUGAAAGUGUUUUAAUUAAUUAAUAUAUAUUAGAUAUUUUACUUAAAAAUCUUUCUUGAAAUUUUUGUUAAAAAAAAUAUAAUUUAUAAUUAUUUUUAAACUAAUUGUUUUAAACACCACUGCAAAAACUACUAAGAUACUGUAUACACAUUUGUAUAACACAAUUUUUAGAACCAAAGGUAAUAUUAUAAUGUUUGUAUUUGUGUUUUAAAAGUAUUUUUUUAAAAAAUAAUUUUUUAAUUUUUAUUUACUUUAAAUUAAUAUUAUUUUUUUUAGAAUUUUUAGAUCAUGCAUUUAUCUCAAAAAUAAAUUUUUAAUAUAAAAAAAAUAUUAUUUUAAUAUAUACCACAACCACCAAACCCAAGGUGAACUUGUAAGUGCUCCUCCGAUGACAAGAUUCCAUACGUUUUGAAAUCGACAACGUUUGUUUAAACAAUCUCUCUCUCUCUCUCUCUCUCUCUCUAUAUAUAUAUAUAUAUAUAUAUAUUAAAGUAAAAGCAUUUUUGUUUGUGGUCGUGGAAUCCACAGCACAUACAAAUUAAAGUAACCCACAGCACAUACAAAUUAAAGUAACCCCUACCGCGUGAUAAAGAAUUGUUUAAGCCAUAAAGUUAAGCAAUCAUUUCAUAUUUUAUUAAAUUAAAUCAUAAUUAUUAAAUUUAGGCAACAUGAUGGGUCAAAGAACCAUCUCAACCCAAAAACUUAAGCUAUUAGGUGAGGUUCCAGAAUAUGAUUUAUAUUAUUCCCUAACACACCCCCUCAAGUGAAAACCCUUUGGGCUUGAAACUUGCACAGACCCACAUUACCUUGUGCUUAAUUUUUAUCAAAUAAAUAGGGAUGAUGAGAUUCGAACUCGAGACCAUUUGGUCAUCAAGGCUCUAAUACCAUGUCAAAGAACCAUCUCAACCCAAAAGCUUAAGCUAUUAGGUGAGGUCCUAGAAUAUGAUUUAUAUUAUUCUCUAAUAAGAUGAAACAUAAUCUAAACUAAAUUAUUAAUUGCAUCAAAUAAAAUAUUAAUUUAAUUAAUUUUUUUUAUUCAGUCAAAUUUAAAUUGAACUAGAUAUAAAAUAAUCACAUGAUCAAAUUCAUUGAUCUAAUUAGGAUUUUAAUUAUUUUAUUAACCCAACUAAACUGGAUUCAAAUUAAUCAACCCAAUAUCUUGUAAGAAAAAACUAAUGUUUUAAUAAAAAUAGAUGUUUUGAUGACUUAUAUAUUGACGUAAUAAUCUAACAAUCCAAGCAUUUUCCAAAAUUAUUACCUAAUCUGAGUUUGACACCUAAUUAAAAGUGAACAUGCAUGAUUGAAAGAAGACAAAACAUAACGACAUCUUUUCUCAUUUUCUCUAUUGAAAUCUCGAUGUUGGAGAGUAUAGUGGUAAUUAUAAUUUAAUGUUUUUUAUUAGAAAUAUAUUAAAAAAAUUAUUUUUAAUAUUUGUAUGUCAAAAUGAUUUGAAAAAAAAUUAAUUUUAAAUAAAAAAAUUAAAAUUUUAAGAAAUGUAAUUUUAACAUGUUAGAGAAUUUAUAUCUUGGAAUCUCAUAUAACAAUUUAAAUUAUUGGGUUGAGUUGGUUUUUUGACAUAAUAUCAGAGAUUUAAUGACUAAGUAAUUAUAAGUUCGAAUUUCAUCAUCUCUAUUUAUUUGAUAAAAAUUAAACACAAGAUAGUGUGAGCUUGUGCAAAUUUCAAGUUUAAAAAACUUUAACUUAAAAAAAUAUAUUAAAAAAUAAUAUAAAUUAUAUCUUAAAAUUUUAUUUAAUAAUUUAAAUUAUUAAAUUAAAUUAAUUACUAAAAUAACCGGAAUACCAAAUACUACCUUAAUUCCUCUGUGUUUACAGCGUUUAAACUUUAAACGCAUGAGUCAGAUUUUUUAAGGGUAGGAUCUAGGAUCUUUAGUGUUGUGUCUAGAAGUGUUUAUUGAUAUAAUUAGGCGGGGUUAGAGUUUAUAACUAAUUUAAUUUUUAAUAUUUUAUAAAUUUAGAUGUGGGCAUUUUAUGAAUUUACAAAUCUUGCAAGGAGAAAAAAAAUCAUCAUAGUACGUUGUAACAGGUGUGAUUAAUUUAUUGCAUCACCUGGAUGGUCGAAUGAUUUGUUUUUCCUUGCAUGUGCCUGAGUCCAAGGUUAGGUAAGAUGUAGCUUCGAUCGAAUCAAUAAUAACAUAGAUUAAUUUUGAGUGGCAUAAUUUAAUUGAUAAAACUUUAAAUUUAUUUUUUAAAAAUCAUCAGUUUGAGUUUUUCAGAGCCACUAAAGAUUUACAUGGUCAUUAACUUCAAAACUCGUAAAAUUAACUGAAAUACAUACAAGCUCAUCCGGAUACUCACAUUAAUUUAAAAUAAUAAUAAUAAUAACAUAGGCCCAAACGUAAGACUGGCACAUGCCAGCAGUUGCCUGUGUUCAAGACGUUUGGUCUCCGCUUCAUUAAGGAUUAUAUAUUUACGUAUACUACUUUCAAUUUAAAAGUUUAAAAUUAUUUAUAUAUAGAUAUCUUAUUUUAAUUUUUCCAUUACUAAUGAAUAUUCUACCUACUCAUAUAAACAUUUAACAACACAAAAUCGAAAGUAUUUGUUCCGUAUAAAAUUAUUUAGUUUGAACAAAACAUUUUAUAAUUUAUUGUUUGGCUUGUUAACGAAUACUAUUUCAAAAUAGUUAUUUGGGGUUCGAAAUUAGUGAGAUGCUAGUUAGUUGAAGGUCGGAUUAAAUUUCCUUUUUGAUUAAAAAAAAUAAAAUUCAACCAUUGUUAUCAUGUUUUCUAACAGUAAAAAAUAAAUUUGAUUUGUAAAUUCAAAAUUUUUAGUGUACAUUUAAUAAAAUUGAUUGAGGUUUUUAUACACUAAUAAAUUUUUUUAAAGAAUUAUUAAUGCUAAAUAAAAUUCAAGUUGAAAAUUUGAAAAAUAAAUACAAAUCAAGACACCUAAUCUUGUUUUGCAAGGAGCCCUCAAAGCUUUUUUGUUUAUUAAUAUGAAAAUGUAUUUUUAUCUAUAUAAAAAGAGCAAUAAUAUAUUUAAAUUUCAUUGAAACAAAUUAAUUUUCUAGCAUUAUCCCUUUUUUAUCAAUACAUGUUACCUCUACAAAAAAAAAUAAUUUUUUUGUUGUUCUAUAUCAUUUAUUUAAUAAAAAUAAAAAUAAAAAUAAAAAUUAAUUAAAGCAAAUAUAAAAAAAAUCUUGGACGCUUUAAGAUAAGGAUAAAACAAGCAUUUGUCUAAUUAAAACCAUUUUAUCUUAUUAACAUGCUUAAGAGAAGUUUUUUUUUACAACAUUUUAUCUUGAUUAUAAAAGAAAGUAUUAAUUUUUUUAAAUGAUAUUCUAGGAAUUUCAACACAAAUAUAUUAAAAAAAUAAAAAUAAUAUAUUGUUUGCACGUUGUCGUGGGGAACUCUUUGGUAGCGUUAUUAAACUCGGUUUUGCCUGGUAGGUCAACCUAAAGUCACUUUGACCUGGCUCCUACCUUGGCUCAAGUUUCAAAUUAAAUAGUAUAGGAAUUGACAUAAUAUAAUCAGAUCAAUUUGAUGAGUCUAAAGUAACCCAAUCAAAACCUGAUUUGAAUUAAAAAAAUUAUAAAUGCUAGUAUUUAUUUAUUUAUUUUAUAGAAAAAUAUAACACAACAACAUUCUAAGUCGAUUCAGGUCUUCAGGUUUGGCCUAAUUGACUAGGUUGAUUAGGCAAAAACCAGUUGUUUAAAAGAUUAUUAAAAAACAACAUUAAUCUAACUUUUUUAUAUAUAAGAAAAAAAUAUUGGAAUGAUGAUAUUUUAGAUAGACCUAAGUUAAGUAUGUUAACUCACCUAACUUAUGAUGAAGAUCAUAAUCCUUGCUUUAAUAACCAUGCCUUUUGAAAUCUUUUUUUUUAAUUGAAUGAUUAACAAUUUUAAAAAUUAGAGGAAGGGUGUCAAUUAAAUAGUAAAUAAAAAUAAUAAUGCAAAAUAAAAAAAACUCAUAUAAAGAAGGGUAUUGAUUAAAAUUUAAAAAAACAAAAAAUAAAAACAAAUAACAAAACAUAAAGCACUAGGUGUGGUUGGGCCUAGCAGACUAGCCUUGUGUGACUAACCAAUAACCCAAAAGCCUAGGUGCACCUCGGCCUGAAAACCCAAGCCCGAGCAACAAGGUUUAUUGUUUUUGUAAGGAUGGAUGACAUAUCAUCUAUGUUUUCUAAAAAAAAAGAUAACAUGUCAUUUGUUGUGGUGGAUAAUGAGUUGUCAUGAAGUCCAGUUUCUAACCACCAAAGUGAUUGGGAAACCAAAGUUAGUUCUUAUAGGAUCUAAAAGUUAAUUUUCUAAUCUAUUUUUUUCUUCUAAACACAUCUAAUAAACACCCUUAAAGUCUCAACAAACUAAAUUCGUAAAAAAUAUUAUUUGUUAGCCCAGAUCUACUUUUUUUGACAAAAAAAACACCAUAAUAUAACUCUUUCCAUCAAAUAAAACCUAUUGACUCAAAAAACAACUAGUUUUGUCAUUGAAAUUUGAACAACCAUCAAUUAUCUUUCUUAAAGAGAAAAAGAUGAAAACUAAUUAGUGGUGGAUCAAUGAUUUAAUGACAAAUAUAGCUUUUAAAAUAAUUUUCAUCUCUUAAAAACAUAAUUAUUAAACAUGACCUGAACUCUAAAUUGAUAAAUUGAUCUAAAAAAUUUAAAAAUCAAAGUUUGACACAAGAUAAAUUUUUAAUUGAAUCAGAUAAAAUACUAAUCUUCCAAUCCUCAAUCAACUUGAUAAGUUUAAUGUUUUAUAGAAGAAAAAUAAAAAAUUGUUAUUUUAAUAAAAUAAUUAACCUAGUGACCUAUUGAUUGAUAUAAUAACCCAAUUAUUCACAUCAAUCUCUAGAUUGGUCUGAAAACUAUUCUUAAGUUAUUUUUCUAAGUUUUCAAUUUCUUUUUCUUUGGACAAAAAGUAUUUUCUAUUACCCAAAUUUUCUUAGAUAAGAAAGCGAACCAUAAACAGUAAACACACAUAUAUAACAAUAAUGUGAGGCAAAUAAUAAUAUAAAAGCAAAACAACAUUGACAAUAACUUGGAAGAAGAAAAAGACAGAAGCAAAAGAAAAUUCGUAUUUCUUACCUUCCUCUUCACUAUGAUAUUAUUCUUACUUUGACUAAUUAAUGAGACUUUUUUUUUUUUUAAAAAAAAGAAGACAAAACCAACAAAGAAGAAAAAGACUAACGCUACCUUCCACUUCAAUAUGAUAUUUUGAUAGCAGCAGCAAGAGGCUAACUAUGUUGAAAUUGAGGGCAAUGCUCUAAAACAUAACAAUUUGCAGAAUCACUUGUCAGCACUGAAAUUUAGUCCUUCUUACUGGACAGAUCCAUUGCACCAAAGGAAAUAGCAGGAAGUCUUCCGCAGUCAUAAACAAAUACUAGUCUAGAAAGCCAGCCGAAAAAAUACUUGUAAAGUGCUCUGUCCCUGAGAAAUUUUAUCCACCAUUUAUCUCCUUGCUGCAUCCGUCCUGAUAAAUACGAUGCUGUGACAACCAUAGCGGCACGCCACCUCCUUUCCUUGACAUAAUCAUCUAUGGCUUUAGCCAUGUCUCCUGGAACAAUCAGGGCUCCAUUGUUUAUAAAUGAAUUGCCAAUGUGUCUGCCCAAUACCACAGCAUCUUCUAGUGAUGCACCACCACCGUUUCCUAGAUCAGGAGUCAUGGGGUGCAUAGCAUCACCAGCUACUGUCACAUUUCCUUUGCUUAGUUUUCCAAAUAUGAUCCCCCAUGGAGGCCUAAACAUCAAUGGUGCCCAUGACAAUGAGGAAAGAUCGGCAUGCCGCACCACGUCUAGGUAUUCUGAGGGAAAUUUUUCUGUACAUUUCUCAAGCACAUCCCUUUGCAUUUUCUCUGCCUCUCCUGACAUCUUUUCCCCUGAAAUCAAAAUUAGCUCACUAUAAAACUUUCCCUGAAAUGAUCUGAUCACAUGAACCAAUAUUUGUGUCUUGCUAAAAUGAGAGAGAAAUUAAAGGGAUGAAGAGUGCUAAGUGCUAGCCUUGGCCAGAAAAAAACCAGUAAAGUUCCCUAUCAUUAAGAGGAACAAAACCAGCCUUAUCGCUCUCAUCCAAGAAAAAACGAACUUCUUGUUUAAAUCCAUGGCCUUGAGGAAAAACUGCUAAACCCCGCACCGCUGAUCGACCUGAAUGGACCAGUUCUGCCAGUCCUAGCCAUCGUGCCACUACCGAGUGCACCCCAUCGCAGCCUAUCAGAACCUUAGAUUUGAUAGUAGUUCCAUCUUCCAAGUGUACAGCAGCCAUGGAAGCAUCACCUCCUUGUUCUAGACUUUGAAAAGCAACUAGCCUCGAAGAGAAUCGAAUUGAGUCAGUUGCCAAUUCCUCUGCCAGUGCCUCUAACAACACUUUACGGUGAAGAGUCCUAACUUGUCGAGGGUAGAGGACUUCUCGAACUUCUCCGGUACUAACAUUAGUUACGUAUCCCCUAAAUCGUGAGAAAAAGAAGUUCACGAGAAAUUAAUCUAUCAUCCAAAGCAUGGUAUUAAAAUCCAAAUUCAAGAAUUUAUAAAUAAUCAAACAUAAUGAAAAGAAAAAAUUAACAUGGUGAAACAAUUUAUUACUUGGGUGAAGGAGUAUAAAGGGGGAUGAGCUUGUGAGAAACACCAAGAGCAUCAAGGGCAAGCCAAGCAUUUGGAGAUAGGGUCAACGCUGUACCAGUGGCUCUUAGCCCUUCUGAUCUCUCUAACACCAGGGCUCGAACCCCUACUCUUUUCAAAGCCACUGCUGUUGCCAACCCUGCAAUUCCUGCUCCAACUAUCACCACAUCCUCCAUAAUUUCCAUCUCUCUCUCCCUCUGCGUGUAUGAGUGUUUCCUUCUACAGGGUACCUCAUCUUGUUCUUAUUAUAACCCCAUGUGCUUGGACUCCAAGUAUGAUCAUGACGCACUUGUAUACAUACCUUAUCUUGCAAGUAAUUAAGAAAAUAAUGUUUUUCUUCAUGGUUAUCUAGCCAAUUUGCGAGUUAAUAAAACUAAAUCUCGUUUUCGAACUAUUUAAAUAAAUAAAUAAAAAACUAGAGGCGGCUUUUUUGGAGAAAAAAAGAAAGAAAGAAAGAAGAAAGGCAAUCUCAUUGGUCAUUUAAAGUUUGUAUGAAAGAACUUUCGUUUUCAAAGAACUUUUUGUAUCAAAAUGUAUGAAAUAGGAAUUUGCCAUCUUCCAUCGUGUAAUGCAAUAAAAAUAUCUGUGCUUUGAUUAAGUCAAUAAAAAUAUCUGUGCUUUGAUUAAGUCAAUAAAAAUAUAGACACCAAACUGAAAUUUGCACUAACUCGAGUUAGAGUAUGAUCAAGCCUACAAAGUACAAACACUCCAUAACAGUACUAAAAGAAACGGUUUUGACUGAAUUUUUAUUUUUUCAGAACAUAAAUUAUAAAUUACAGGGUAUAGAAAGACAUGUUUUUAUGUUAUUUGUCUCGAGACAGUAAUCAAAUAAUAUAAAAGACUCGUUAACUAGUAAUUGAGAGCCAUCGUCUGAAACCACUCAUCUGCAGAAUCUAUAUGCCAAAAUUGAAUCUAGUCCUUCUUACUUGAGUGAUCCAUAUCACCGAAGGAUAUUUAAGAUUUGAAAUUAAUGAAAUAAAAGUGUUACAAAAAUUAAAAAUAAAAAAGGAUGGAAACUAACUUGUGGUGGAUCUAUGAUUUAAUGACACAGUCUUUUAAAAUAUCUUCAUCUCCUAUAGAAGUAAUUAUUAAAUCUACCUCAUCUCUGCAUGAUGGCUUGAAAAACUUACAAUCCAAGUAGCAAGACUCAUUCAAUUCUGAGUGUUUUUAAAAAUACAUUGUUUUUUAAAAUAUUUUUUAUUAUAAAAUAUAUUAAAAUAAUUUUUUUAUUUUUAAAAAAUUAUUUUUAAAAUCAACACAUUAAAAUGAUCUAAAAACAUUAAAAACAUAUUAAUUUAAAAUAAAAAAAUUAAAAAAAUUAAACUUUUUCACGGUAUAAAACACUGUCCGCUUAAGUUAAUAAUAUCUUUUAAAAAAAGUUUUCCUGUUAAUAAAAUAAUCAAUCAUGUAACCUAUGAGAUGACAUGAUAACGUAGUGAUCCAGGCUUUUUUUUUCUAGGUCAGCCCAUGAAUUGGUGUGGCAACUAUACUUAAAUCUCAUAAGUUAUGUUUUUAAUUUAUUUUCCUUGACAAUAAAAUAUUUUUUAUUACCCAAAUUGUUUUAGAUAAGAGGGUGCAUAAUAUAUUUAUGAAGCAUAUUCUACAUAAAACAAACUUAGUUAAAUAUUAUAGAGGAUGAUACCUACAAUAAUGUGAGGUAGCAAAACAAAACAACACUGACUAAAACAUAAUGAAAAAAGCAGAACCAAAACAAAAUUCUGACUACAUAAAAUAAGAUUCGAAUAUUAUUUUGAAAUUGGCAACCUCUAUCUCUACAAGUUGUAUGUACGUCUCAGCCUAUCGCUUCUGUAGCUGGUGGUAGAUAGAAAUUUCUGCAGCAGGAAGAUGGCACACCAUGAGGCAACAGAUGAUUGCUUUCAGCAGAAAUCCCUUAGGCAAAUACCGUUUGACAAGUCAACAGAGUCUCUCUCUUUGAACCAAAUUCUUUUUGUCAAAUCGGAUAGACAAGCAGAGGGUAAGAAACUUUGAAAAAUCUCUAGAAACCCUUGGAAGAUUUCUCUUUAAACUAAUCUUAGUUGUUAAUAGUUCAGGCUUUUAUUAAGAGAAGGCACAACAUUAAGAGGGUAUUCAAAACUUUUUGGUUAAGACCAUGAGAUCAUCGAGAGCUAUCAACAAAGGUAUAAUGAUUGUAACGUGUUUCUCGUUAUUUGUGAAAAAUAAUUUACAUUUUGAUAUGUAUAUGCACAACAUAAAAUUCAAAUCCUAUGUUGUUAGAAAAGAAAUCAGUCACCAUAUUUAUAUAUUUUGAUAACCACGUUAGUAAUUCGGCGUCGUCAGAACCUCCAAAAUAUAUUUCUAACUUUACUAUCACAAACAAAAUAAAUUCUUAGUAUAAUCAUGAUGUAACAUCCUCAAAUUAUAAUGUCAUAAAGUAUCAUAUUAGAAGGCUCUAUGCAAAUUUUUCAGAAUUUUCUGAUAACCCGAUCAAGAAUUACAAAUUUUUUUGUUUUACAUGAAACUAGUCAAUUUAUGAUUUUUCGCCUAGAGAUUUUACACGUGAAAACCAGGUUAAACUCAAGGGAAAUUUCGUUUAAUAUUUCUAUAAUAUACUGAAAUGAAAAAGAACAAAGGAUUUGAAUAAAAAUUAAAAAAAACAAAAUUCUGAAAAUAAAAUUAAUAAAUUGAUAUGUUGUUAACUCAGUUUAAAGGUUCUUACAUCCAUUUCUAUAAAUUUGUUGAUCAUCUAAGUAAAAUAAAUAUUCUUUUAUGUCAAGCAAAUAAAUUUGAUAUCCCUUAAAAUAGAGAGAAAUCGAUGAGAUUACGAGUACAUUAAUUAGACAAAGCUCUCUAAUCAAUUUCUUACCAUCAAACGAAUUUAAUAUUGAAAGCAAUUCUUAUUCACUCGGCAGUAGCCUUAGUAGUAAAGUCUGUGAAAUUAUUCUAAGCAAACUUUCAAAAGCUUGACAAUUUAACUUAAUUUAUUCUUUCCUAAUAAAUCAACAUGAGAAUUGCAACAAUCAAAUUAAUUCUUUUGCCUCUUAUUUUAGUCCCUAACAACAAUCACGGAUUGAAUGAAAUUAAAAAGCAUACAUGUCAUCUCAAAACAAUUCAAUAAGCUUGAAUAAUAGUCAAUAACAUAAUUCUGAAUAAGAAAAAAUAAAUAUUAAUUUUGAAAGAAUUACAAUGAUAACAUUACUUCUCAUAACUUGUUAAUGGAGAUGGUGUGUAUUUCUCUUGAACUAAAAGCCAAAGUUUAGUUCAUAACUGCUAGAGAAUUGACAAAAACAGAGAAAAAAAGAAUGUUGCAAAGCCUCUAUUUCAGUUGUGUUCUGCUCUAUUUAUUCUCUCCCUUGGCUGUCGAAUUUCUUCAGAAUUCUUAGGUUAAUUAGAAGUCCUUAUGCUACUUAACUCCUUCCUUCUUUAUAUGGUCCCUAAGGUUGGUUAAAUCUCUUAGAAUUUGGUUGAAAAUAGACUCUGUUGCUGUCACAACUUUGUUGUAAUUCCAACUCUGCUGCAACUUAGACUUUGUUUCUAACAUGAUUUCUUGCAAUAUUCGACCAUUUCAGCUAUAUUCUUUCAUUCAUGGCAUGUUAGAGGCUUGAUUUACGCCUUUCAUAGGUCCUAAGGCCCACCUUUUCUAUGCCAGACUAUUAGCUGUAAUGUGAUGCUCGGCACUGUUAGUUUCCUCAUCAAAUUAGAAGACCAAUCUCAUCCUUCAGAUUGCGUCCAACAGUUUGUCUUCAAAACGAUUUUAUCUGACCUGGAAUCCUUCAUAAAAGUUGUAGCCCUAGAUGUGUAGAUGAUUUUGGGCUUUUGAAUCAUAUGAUUUUGAUGUUUGAGACUCAAAGAUAUACUUAUUUGAAUCUGUAAUGUGAAAGUAGAGGAUUUUGUUAUUGCGGGUCUGAUUAGAGGUCCAAUAGAAUUCAUAUUUCUACCCAUAAUACCUUUCUAGGAAGCUUGAUAUGUUUACUUCAACUUUUAUUUAGCCCAUGUCCACAUUAUAAAAUUAUAACUUAGUAAACACUUGUCAUAUGAAGGAAAGUCUGAAACAUAAAAUAUAGAAAUUCUUAUAUUUUAGCAAUUAAUUUACAAGUUUCCUAUACAUACUAAACUCAUAAAAAUAACUUUUAAUAAGCCCAGAUAAGUUCAAAAUACAUAAAAUAUCUAUAAAGUAAUAAUAAAAACAUAUGUAUAUUUUGCACUUAUCAGUCAUAUUGUAAAAAAUAAUAAUUUAAAGUAAAGAAAUAUUAUUUAGUGCAUUUAGAUGAAUAAAUUAUUUUGAAUGGUGAUACCCAAAUUUGAAUUCAAAAAAUUAAAAUAAUUUCUCUUAAAUACCAACCUCACCAUUCAAUUUACAUAAAUGAUAUUUAUUAUAUAUACACACACACAUUAGUUUAUGCAUGGAUUUCUCACCUUACUGGGGUAAAAUGAAUGAGUUCUACAACAUCUUAUUUGCAUAUUUUUUGAAAAGUUGUUAAUUAAUGAUGCCAAACAUUUAAUUGGUGUUGAUAAUCACGAGAUUUCUUAAAUAACUUUCACACAUCUCAUUUGAGUAGACACCCAAAUUAGACUCCGAGUAAGUGCUUUUUUUAUUUUAGAAUUUUGAUUUUUCUUGCCUUGUAAAGAUCAAUUUCUAAUCUAAAAAAUGAUUAGAUUAGAAAUAGGAAUUUCCCAUCUUCCAUUGUGUAAUGCAAGAGCCUUUGGGUCUAAAUACAUUUUGUUAAUUUAUCUCUGCUUCGAUGGAGUCAAUAAAAAAUAUAGGCACCAAACUGAAAUCUGCACUAGCUCGAGUUGGAGUACGAUCAAGCCUACAAAGUACAAACACUCCAUAACAGUACCAAAAGAAACGGUUUUGAGUGAAUUUUUAUUUUUUCAGAACAUAAAUUAUAAAUUACAGAGCAUAGGAAGACAUGUUUUUUUUUUUUUUUUUCAUCUCGAGACAGUAACCAAAUAAUAUAAAAAGACUCGUUAACUAGUAAUUGAGAGCCAUCGUCUGAAACCACUCAUCUGCAGAAUCUAUAUGCCAAAAUUGAAUCUAGUCCUUCUUACUUGAGUGAUCCAUAUCACCGAAGGACAUAGCAGGAAGUUUGCCACAAUCUUUAUGCACAAGUCCAGAAAUCCUGCCAAAAAGAUACUGGUAAAAUAUUCCAUCCCUUAAAAAUUUCAUCCACCAUUUAUCUCCACCGAGCUGCACCCAUCCUGCUAAAUAUGAUCCUGUGACAAGAAAAGCAGGACGCCACCUCCUUUCCUUCACAUAAUCAUCUAUGGCUUUAGCCAUGUCUCCUGGAACAAUCAGCCCUCCAUUGUUUAUAACUGAAUUGCCAAUGUGUCUGCCCAAUACCACAGCAUCUUCUAGUGAUGCACCGCCGCCUUGUCCUAGAUCAGGAGUCAUGGGGUGCAUAGCAUCACCAGCUACUGUCACAUUUCCUUUGCUUAGCUUUCCAAAUAUGAUCCCCCAUGGCUGCCUAAACUUCAACAGUGCCCAUGUUAACGUUGAAAGAUCAGCAUGCCGGACCACGUCUAGGUAUGAUGAAGGAAACUUUUCUGCAUGUUUCUCAAGUACUUGUUUCUGUAUAUGUUCGGGAUCUCCCGUCAUGUUAUCUCCUGAAUUGAAAAUUAGUUCAGAAUAAAUGUUCCGUGCAAUGAUCUGACAUGAACGAUCAUUUGUGUCCAGCUAAAACGAGAAAGAAGGAAGGGUUUAGUGCUAACCGUUGUAGGUUAAAAACCAGUAAAGUUCUCUGUCAUUAAGAGGAACAAAACCAGCUCUUUUGCCCACAUCCACAAACCGAUGAACUUCUUGCUUAAAUCCAUGGCCUUGAGGAAAAACUGCUAAACCUCGC
RNAcentral lists this long non-coding RNA (23107 nucleotides) under Populus trichocarpa (black cottonwood). RNAcentral describes it as "long non-coding RNA (PTRI_LNC004123)". The record is from RNAcentral. Lineage: Eukaryota; Viridiplantae; Streptophyta; Magnoliopsida; Malpighiales; Salicaceae.